This 227-nucleotide ribosomal RNA is filed under the name uncultured bacterium. RNAcentral's name for it is "partial 16S ribosomal RNA". It matches the Rfam family "Bacterial small subunit ribosomal RNA", at positions 105 to 334 of the family's 1533-position model. The record is from RNAcentral.
CGGGAAGUAAUGUCUGGGAAACUGCCUGAUGGAGGGGGGUAGCUACUGGAAACGGUAGCUAAUACCGCAUAACGUCUUCGGACCAAAGUGGGGGACCUUCGGGCCUCACGCCAUCGGAUGUGCCCAGAUGGGAUUAGCUAGUAGGUGGGGUAAUGGCUCACCUAGGCGACGAUCCCUAGCUGGUCUGAGAGGAUGACCAGCCACACUGGAACUGAGACACGGUCCAG